ACGCUCGACACCUACGGGAGGCAGCAGUGGGGAAUAUUGCACAAUGGGGGAAACCCUGAUGCAGCGACGCCGCGUGGAGGAAGAAGGUCUUCGGAUUGUAAACUCCUGUUGUUGGGGAAAAAGAGGAUGGUACCCAACAAGGAAGUGACGGCUAACUACGUGGCAGGAGCCGCGGUAAUCUGAGCGGGCUGGCAAGGC
RNAcentral lists this ribosomal RNA (198 nucleotides) under uncultured bacterium. RNAcentral's name for it is "partial 16S ribosomal RNA". It matches the Rfam family "Bacterial small subunit ribosomal RNA", at positions 328 to 539 of the family's 1533-position model. The record is from RNAcentral.